UUAUUGUAGUACUACAUGCUUUGAAUGUCAAUUUCAAUUUGUUAUUUUCAAUCACGUUAAUAAUUUUUAUUCAUUUUUUAGGAAGAACUAAAAAGAUAUAAUAAUGAGGCUGGUGAAGUAACAUUGUCAAUUAUAAGGAAGGGGAGUUUGAAUUAUAAUUGCCCCUUUUAAAAAUUUCUAUUUAAAAAUUGAAAAUUUUAACUCAAGAUUGAUCUUGGUUAUAAACGAAUAACAUUAUUGGUUAGUGGAAAAACAACAAUAUCAAUUUAUCAAUAUAAAAACUGAAUAUAAGACAAAUAAUAAUAGAAAUAGGGAUAAAGAGAUCACACAAGCAUAUAUCAUGGUUCAUCCAACACUUGUUACGUCUA
This 368-nucleotide long non-coding RNA is filed under the name Cicer arietinum (chickpea). RNAcentral describes it as "long non-coding RNA (CARI_LNC001247)". The record is from RNAcentral. Lineage: Eukaryota; Viridiplantae; Streptophyta; Magnoliopsida; Fabales; Fabaceae.